UCCAAUGUAAGCUCAAUCUUGAAACAAUGACUAAAAGGGAAGAAUAAUCUCCAACUCCAUAUCAUCAAAAAAAGUUCCCCUAAAAUAAGAUACAAGUUGAAAGAUUAAAAAAUACACAUCUCCACUCACUAGACAGAUAAAACUACAGCACUAUAAUUAUUGAAUGUUACUGUUAUCUUAUCUAAUCUCCUCUUUUAGAUAUUUUCUUUUGGGAUAAAUCAUCACAGCUCCACUCAUAAACGCACACUUACAAAACAUGGGAACCCUCCACUAAUUAGAUCAAACAACAGCACAAGAUAACAU
Molecule: long non-coding RNA, 303 nt
Filed under: Brassica rapa (field mustard)
Lineage: Eukaryota; Viridiplantae; Streptophyta; Magnoliopsida; Brassicales; Brassicaceae
Description: long non-coding RNA (BRAP_LNC003133)
Source: RNAcentral